Molecule: transfer RNA, 75 nt
Filed under: Alphaproteobacteria bacterium
Lineage: Bacteria; Pseudomonadati; Pseudomonadota; Alphaproteobacteria
Also listed under: 2 other names
Description: tRNA-Thr
Rfam family: tRNA
About the family: Transfer RNA (tRNA) molecules are approximately 80 nucleotides in length. Their secondary structure includes four short double-helical elements and three loops (D, anti-codon, and T loops).
Source: RNAcentral
GCUGCCGUAGCUCAGUGGUAGAGCACCCCCUUGGUAAGGGGGAGGUCGGAAGUUCAAUCCUUCUCGGCAGCACCA